GAUGAACGCUGGCGGCGUGCUUAACACAUGCAAGUCGAACGGAAAGGCUCCUGCUUGCGGGGGUCCUCGAGUGGCAAACGGGUGAGUAACACGUGGGUGAUCUGCCCUGCACUUCGGGAUAAGCCUGGGAAACUGGGUCUAAUACCGGAUAGGACGAUGGUUUGGAUGCCAUUGUGGAAAGUUUUUUCGGUGUGGGAUGAGCUCGCGGCCUAUCAGCUUGUUGGUGGGGUAAUGGCCUACCAAGGCGUCGACGGGUAGCCGGCCUGAGAGGGUGUACGGCCACAUUGGGACUGAGAUACGGCCCAGACUCCUACGGGAGGCAGCAGUGGGGAAUAUUGCACAAUGGGCGCAAGCCUGAUGCAGCGACGCCGCGUGGGGGAUGACGGCCUUCGGGUUGUAAACUCCUUUCGCUAGGGACGAAGCGCAAGUGACGGUACCUGGAGAAGAAGCACCGGCUAACUACGUG
RNAcentral lists this ribosomal RNA (466 nucleotides) under uncultured bacterium. Its description in RNAcentral is "partial 16S ribosomal RNA". It matches the Rfam family "Bacterial small subunit ribosomal RNA", at positions 28 to 507 of the family's 1533-position model. The record is from RNAcentral.